GAAUUGAACCCAGUGCCUCACACAAAGCUAGGCAAGUAGCGCUACCUCUGAGACACAACUUCAGCCCUAUAAAAUGGUUUCUUAGAGAAGACACAAAAAGAAAAUAGAGAAAUGGAACUUCAUCAAAAUCAAACAACCUUUGUUUUCAAUGAAUGCCAUCAAGAAAAUGAAGAGACAACACCCAAUAUAGGAGGAGGUGGAGUCUCAGGGGACCAGAAGCACUAUUUGAAGUUACAAGUGACUAAUUUUAUGCAAAGGCGAUCACCAUCUGCAAUCCACAAAAAUGUGCUAAAGAAAUGUAGUAGGUAUUUCUCUGAGUGGUUUACCCCUAUUGACCUUCCCAAAUAUUUAACUAAUGCUAUAAUUAACAGGUGGCAGAUCCAAUUAUGCUGUAGUAGAAAAAUAAAGUCACUAUAUAUCACUAUCAA
This is a non-coding RNA of Ictidomys tridecemlineatus (thirteen-lined ground squirrel), 428 nucleotides long. Lineage: Eukaryota; Metazoa; Chordata; Mammalia; Rodentia; Sciuridae. The record is from RefSeq and is a predicted model, not a curated record.